UUCGCAUAAAAGGCAAAGUUUUCCAUUAAAAUGGUUUUUUCCGUGUGUCAACUACAGUGGGAAGAAUGUUCCUGAUAGAAAAACCCAAAGAAUGUCCGCAUAGAAGGAAAAGAAAAAAAAGGUACAGAAGACAUAUAUCGUCAGCGAAAGAGGCGACAACCACCACCAGCACCAGCACCGGAAAUUUUUGGACAUGCCAGGUAUGAAUAGUUUCAUCACGUUGCACGAAAUAUAGUCCGGACAUCGUGCCAAGAACAAGUUAUUCUUUUCGCUUUGAGGAUUUCCAAGGGAUGGCAAGGAAAAAUGGAGAGAGUGGAUGCAAAAGUCUAGACGUAACAGGAGGAAAAUGCGAGCGAGCCUGCCGCCUGUGAUCCAGAAAGAUGUUAGUUCUAGACGGAGCUCUGGAAGAAGAGAGAGCUCCAUCACCACUUCGAAGCAAAGAUGGAGAAGAAAUGUUCAAGGUACCUUUGUUCGCCAAUCUCUCAGCGCAGCAGCGGAUCAUCUUCUCAGCCAGCAGCAACAAUUCAGCCAGGCGCUGCAGCGAGGCAGCGAGAGUUCUCCUCGGGAAUGCAAGUCCUUCACAGCUGCAGGAGGCGAGUAGCUUUGGUGAGAAUCAAAACUUCAAAGCUCCUGGCUCGGUACCUUUCAAAUGGGAAGAACAACCCGGUAAGCCGAAGUCGCCGUCUUCGCUGAGCUACUCGAGCUCUCCCGGGAGCUCUCCACUGUCGUUUC
This 732-nucleotide long non-coding RNA is filed under the name Selaginella moellendorffii. RNAcentral describes it as "long non-coding RNA (SMOE_LNC001754)". Lineage: Eukaryota; Viridiplantae; Streptophyta; Lycopodiopsida; Selaginellales; Selaginellaceae. The record is from RNAcentral.